Molecule: long non-coding RNA, 781 nt
Organism: Homo sapiens (human)
Lineage: Eukaryota; Metazoa; Chordata; Mammalia; Primates; Hominidae
Source: Ensembl
GCCUGCGUCAUGGAGAGGAAUGCAGGUGGUACGCCCCGACACUCACUACACUGUCAAGCACAAGAGGGCAUUUCUAGCAACUCAGUUGGAAACGCUCUCAAUGAUGUUUAACAAAAGGAUAGAAUUACUUAUGGUGGCAGAAUAAUGGCCCCUGAAGAUAUCUAUGCUGUGAUUCCCAAAGCCUGUGACUAUGUUACAUUACAUGGCAAAAGGCCUUUGCAGAUGUGAUUAAGGUUAAGGACCUUGAGAUGGGUUGAUUAUCCUGGAUUAUAGAGUGAACUUGGCUCCAUGCAUUGAUGGAGAAGAAAGACACCCGAGGGCUCCAUUCUGCAGGAUGAGUCUGCAGGGAUCUCCUUGCCAGCUAUGGAAGUCAGUAUGACAGCUUCAGCUACCUACAGUCCACUUGCCAGCAUAAGUCCCCACCUGCUGACCUGCUGCCUGCUAUCUUAACACGAAUUCUUCAUCUGAAUGGAUGAGCUUUUCACAGAGUUCCAAACUAAGGAAUCCAGGAGUGGCCAAUCCAGAGAUUCAUUCCUUAUCUUUGACGAACAUCUGAACUCCUGGCUCAUCCUGUGGAAUUCAGGCCAUACAGGAGAUCAAGGUCAUUUGCUUUGGGUUAAAUGAAUGUUGCCAGGUGGAGGUUGCUAGAGGGAGAGUGCUAUGUGAAAGUGCUGUAUAAACUGCUUGCUUUUCACAAACAGUAGUGAUUCUUUAUCCUGUCCAGCCUGCCACAACUGGACCAUCCUGUAUGUAAGUCCCCUUAAUAAAUCCUGUGUCUCAU